UGCGCGCGACAGUACGUACAAAUAAUUAAGGUAGUUUCAGCAGAAUGAAAAAGAGACAUUAAUUGGCACCCCAUAUAUAUGCUUGCAUUGCAGGCCGAAGAUGAUAUAGUUGCUAUGGCGAGAGAAGGAACACUGUACUGAUGGAUCAAGCCAAUGGAACGAACCGGUCAUGAUUUUAUUUAUUCCAAAACAGGCAUUCAAAUUACCAUGCAUGAUAUUACUAUAAGUUACACCAAAUAGUGCUAUAUAUAAGUAUCGGCUGUAACCCAGCGCACGGUUCUACCUCUACUGCUGGUAGCCCCAAUUAUCGGUUAAAUAAUGAUUUUGAGAUCCCAAAAUGGAACAUGAAGCCACCAAGGAAGCCAUAAAAUGCACCCAAGCCCAGUGCAUCUAGAACCCGUUCAGAACUCGCCGCCGCCGGUUCCUGGUGGCGUAGUGCAUCGCCCUGUAAUAACCUCCUCGCCAUGUAGCUCAAUGCUAUAUCAAUGUUGUUCACAUCUUUCUUCAGCUUUGCUAUUUCCCGAAAUUGGGAUGUCCUUGCUCUUGCUCCUGUGUAAUGACCAAGGUCCUGUACGCAUGCAGAUAGAUAAUAUAUAUAUAUAUAUCAGUAAAAAAUGGGAGAAGAAGAAGAAGAAGAAGAAGAAGAAGAAGAAGAAGAAGAAGAAGAAGAAGAAGAAGAGAAGAAGACUGAAGUU
This 695-nucleotide long non-coding RNA is filed under the name Sorghum bicolor (sorghum). RNAcentral describes it as "long non-coding RNA (SBIC_LNC001916)". Lineage: Eukaryota; Viridiplantae; Streptophyta; Magnoliopsida; Poales; Poaceae. The record is from RNAcentral.